AGAAUCAACGCUGGCGGCGUGCCUAACACAUGCAAGUCGAACGCGAAAGUCUCCUUCGGGAGAUGAGUAGAGUGGCGUACGGGUGAGUAACACGUGGGUAAUCUGCCUCGAGGUGGGGAAUAACGGCCCGAAAGGGUCGCUAAUACCGCAUAACACAGCGGCACCGCAUGGUGACAGUUGUUAAAGGGGGGGAUCUCGCAAGAGACCUCUCGCCGCGAGAGGAGCCCGCGCCCGAUUUAGCUUGUUGGCGAGGUAAGAGCUCACCAAGGCGACGAUCGGUA
Molecule: ribosomal RNA, 281 nt
Filed under: uncultured soil bacterium
Lineage: Bacteria
Description: partial 16S ribosomal RNA
Rfam family: Bacterial small subunit ribosomal RNA
Source: RNAcentral